AUUGAACGCUGGCGGCAGGCCUAACACAUGCAAGUCGAGCGAGCGGCGGACGGGUGAGUAAUGUAUGGGGACUGCACGAUCGAGGGGGAAAAAGAAAGGACACGGUGGCCAAUACCGCAUACUGUAGGAUAACCCAUGUGGGAUUAGCUAGUAGGUAAGGUAAUGGCUUACCUAGGCGACGAUCCCUAGCUGGUGUGAGAGGAUGAUCAGCCACACUGGGACGUAGACACGGCCCAGAAUCCUACGGAGGCAGCAGUGGGGAAUAUUGCACAAUGGGCGCAAGCCUGAUGCAGCCAUGCCGCGUGUAUGAAGAAGGCCCUAGGGUUGUAAAGUACUUGCAGUCGGGAGGCGUUACCGACAGAAGAAGCACCGGCUAACUCCGUGCCAGCAGCCGCGGUAAUAC
RNAcentral lists this ribosomal RNA (403 nucleotides) under uncultured bacterium. RNAcentral's name for it is "partial 16S ribosomal RNA". It matches the Rfam family "Bacterial small subunit ribosomal RNA", at positions 29 to 526 of the family's 1533-position model. The record is from RNAcentral.